Molecule: long non-coding RNA, 2927 nt
Filed under: Mus musculus (house mouse)
Lineage: Eukaryota; Metazoa; Chordata; Mammalia; Rodentia; Muridae
Description: long non-coding RNA chr7:91564366-91567293
Source: RNAcentral
UCUCUCUCUCCCCUAUGCAGCAAUAAUGUCUGUAGCCUUUAUUUUGAACAUCUUUCUUGAAGAAACUAAAAUAGAACAAAAGAUGCUGGAAAUAGGAUCAUGAAAAAUAGGGUCACUGGUGUCAGGCCCAGGGCAUGAGAUGGAAAAGGUAAAGAUAUUCGCUAUCUGAUGCUUUUCCUUCUUUACAUUUAGAAAGUAGAAUUUAAAAUGAAAAGCAAGAUCUGGAAGGAGGCAAAGACCAGGUGGAAAAAUUCAGAAUACUAAUUGAAACUAUCAAUAUCAAGAGGUGAAAUGUACAAGCAAUGGGUCAAAUGUACUGAUUACUUUGGAUGUUUUUACCCCAAGAAAUGUGAUCAAAUGAAGUAAACACACACACACACACACACACACACACACACACACACACACACACACACAACUUAUGAGAUCAGAAUGAAGUCCAUUUGGUUUGGUCAGCUUUUGCUCACUGCUCAUCAUCUUAUCUUGACUACCUGAAAGAGCGAGUUCACCUUCAGUCUAGAUACAGGCUCUGCACCUCAUUAGCCAGGCUGAAUUUGCACUUCUGAUUAUAUACAUUUGCCCAGACAAGAACAUUUAGAUGCUCACCUACCUGCCAAGUCCUCAUUUUUUCUUCCUUAUAUCUAUCAGUUAAGGGAAAACAGUAACAGAGAACUUUUGAAGUAUACAAAGUUUUUACAGUAUCUUGUUCUUGAUUAAUAUUUAUAAUAAUAUAUAGAAGUAGAAAAUAUUAUGUUAUACUGCAAUUCUCACUCCCAGAAUGUUGUUCAUCAACGAUGUCUAUCGAUUUCACAGUGUGAUCCUUGGUCAGCAACCAACUGAGAACACUAACAAGCAUAUAUAAUUCUAUGUGUGGUUCUUCUCAAAGAGGCAGGUCAUCUGUCCUUGCUAAUAAUAACCACCUUUCAAAGACGAGUUCUGGCGUGUGACAGUGCCACAGUAAAGCUUCUUAGAAUACAUCUUUAUUAAAUAAAAGCUGUGUGCCUUUAGGGAAAGGGUAGAACACAUUGUGUAAUUCGCUGCUUUGCAUAUUGAAAUUCAGCAGGUAGAUCUUGUUAAAGACAUUCAGGAAGCAUCUCAAAGAGAAUGACCUUCACAUUUUCAUAAAAUAAAUGAUUAAUGUGGGGGCCAUUAAUUCUACCCAUACUCUGUUCCCCAAAGAGCUUUAUCCAUUCUGAAGAAGUGUUUCACUUUCAAGGAUAAAUGACACAUAUUUUUAAAAUAAUUGUGAACCAUCAGGUAUGUAAUUUAUAUCUGUUGUGCAUAAUAAAAUACAUAAUUAAACAUCACUCUACAAUUAAUCAAGGCAUUAAAACCUGGAAGUGGCAAGAAGCUACUGUGUAGCAGCAUUCCAAUUUGGGAAGACUGUUUAUAAAUAGGUUUAUAUUAAUGAGACUGUUUUUAUUCCUAUCUAAUUUUCUUAGGUCAGUCUUCAUUAUAUUUUACAUUUGUAUAUGUGCUCUAGGCAAAAUAGUGAAAGGGCACCAUUUGAACUCUUCUGAUAAAAAUCUAAGGAGACAAAUAUUUAGCUGAAAUUUAAUGCUGGUCCGUUUAAACAAUCAGCAGGAAAAGAUUUUAUUAUAUAUCAAUAAAUUAAUUCAGUUUAUCUCUCAGAAAAGGCAUAUACUGAUGUCAUAGCAUAGAUAACACAAGGGAAAUGUUUCUUUCAUGGUUAUAGAGCACUGAAAAAGUUUGAAACUAGAUUCCUGAGAUUCUAGAACUCAGGUCACAUGCAAUAAGCAAAUGGUUCAACAUGGUUCAUGCAUCCAGGGUGUUCUGAAUACAUUAUUAAUCUGUAGGCAACAAUAAAAUAGUAACUUCCACAUUAGUCUGUAAAUUAAAUGUUUGUUCUUGAACUUCUGGUGAGGAGCAUGAAGCACAGAAUCUUAUAUGACCUGACACGAACAUUCUUUAUUUUCAAAGAGUGCCCCAAUGCAUGGCUGGUAUCAGCAGGUAUUGAUUGCGUGUGGCGAGAACACACUCUUGAACCAAAUUUACUAACAGAGGCUCAUAAAACACACAGGUAAUCUGGGAACAAUUCAGUCGUUGCAGUUUGACACUUUACAUGUACGGAUUCUCCUGUGAAUGCUUUUUGUAUCUUGAGGUGAGUAUAGAGUGCUAGACAACUAUUGCCGGGACUUCAGAGUCCCACUUAUAGUUUAAUAAUAAAGACAUAGAGACAUCUAUAUAAUUUAAAGCUGUUGGGCUUUGGCUGGGCUAGCCUCUAACUUAACACAGCUUCUCUGCCAUUGAGUCUCUUCCUGCCCCAGCCCUGGCUGCAAGCUCUUUAUUAUGCCAAAAGUCACAUUCCUCACUGAACCAGUUGGCUUUAGGGACUACAUGAGCUUCCCCAUAUCAGCUUCUAAAGGCAGGUGAGGAAGUGACAUUUAAUAUCCUGCUAACCUAGUAUGAGGACAAUUAAUAAUGGAGAACAUGGGGACACACUUUUUCAUGGCCAGAAAAUACCAUAUUUGCGGGGCACCCCACAGGCAACAUAUUUAUGGAAACUAUGGUGUCCAUCUCUCUGUGGUCUCCCAGUAGUCCUGUAAUGCAUAAUCGUGCUUAAAACACUUUUGCAGCUGGGCAUGGUGGCACAUACCUUUAAUCCCGGCACUAGGGGCUUCAGAGACAGGUGGAUCUCUGUGAGUUUAAGGCUGGCCUGAUCUACAUAGCAAGUUUGAAGGCAACAAGGACUGUAUAGACCUUGUUUCUACAUAAGCAAAAGAAAAACCUCCUUUGCCUGUGCCCUCCUUUGCCUGCAGAAUGCUUAAUUAUUGUGUAGGUUAAACUGGUAAGUUUCACUUACUCUGAGCUCUCAGAUUCUCUGUGCUCUCGGGUCUUCCUUUCACAUCUACAAACUUCACCAGGAUCAGAAGCUUCUCAAGUUAAAAUGUCUACUGUGAUUCAUG